AUACGUAGGGGGCAAGCGUUAUCCGGAUUUACUGGGUGUAAAGGGAGCGUAGACGGAAGGCCAAGUCUGAUGUGAAAGCCCGCGGCUCAACUGCGGGAUUGCAUUGGAAACUGUUGAGCUUGAGUACUGGAGGGGCAGGCGGAAUUCCUGGUGUAGCGGUGAAAUGCGUAGAUAUCAGGAGGAACACCGGUGGCGAAGGCGGCCAGCUGGACAGUACCUGACGUGGAGGCUCGAAAGCGUGGGGAGCAAACAGGAUUAGAUCCCCUGGUAGUCCACGCCGUAAACGAUGAAUACUAGGUGUUGGGAGGCAAGGCCUCUCAGUGCCGCAGCCAACGCAAUAAGUAUUCCACCUGGGGAGUACGUUCGCAAGAAUGAAACUCAAAUGAAUUGACGGGG
This 396-nucleotide ribosomal RNA is filed under the name uncultured bacterium. Its description in RNAcentral is "partial 16S ribosomal RNA". It matches the Rfam family "Bacterial small subunit ribosomal RNA", at positions 523 to 918 of the family's 1533-position model. The record is from RNAcentral.